Molecule: ribosomal RNA, 319 nt
Filed under: uncultured eukaryote
Lineage: Eukaryota
Description: partial 18S ribosomal RNA
Rfam family: Eukaryotic small subunit ribosomal RNA
Source: RNAcentral
CCCUUAGAUGUUCUGGGCAGCACGCGCGCUACAAUGGUCUUCGCAAACGGAUGCAUUCUCGAAGGAGAGUGCCAAUCUUGGAAUCUAUGCCUUGGUCGGGACAGUUGCUUGCAAUUUUUCGACUCGAACCAGGAAUUCCUUGUAAUCGUGAUUCAUCACAUCACGAUGAAUACGUCCCUGCCCUUUGUACACACCGCCCGUCGCUCCUACCGAUCGAAGAGUUAGGUGAAUUGUUUUGAUCGAUAAGAUUUGACUAUGGUCAACUCUCGUUGUGAAAUUCUGUGAAUCUGACUGUUUAGAGGAAGGAAAAGUCGUAACA